Molecule: ribosomal RNA, 253 nt
Filed under: uncultured bacterium
Lineage: Bacteria
Description: partial 16S ribosomal RNA
Rfam family: Bacterial small subunit ribosomal RNA
Source: RNAcentral
UACGUAGGUGGCGAGCGUUGUCCGGAUUUACUGGGCGUAAAGCGUGCGUAGGCGGUCCGCAAAGUCUGAUGUGGAAGCCCCGGGCUCAACCUGGGAACUGCAUUGGAAACUAACGGGCUCGAGUGUGGCAGAGGGGGGUGGAAUUCCACGUGUAGCAGUGAAAUGCGUAGAGAUGUGGAGGAACACCGAUGGCGAAGGCAGCCCCCUGGGCUAACACUGACGCUCAGGCACGAAAGCGUGGGGAGCAAACAGG